Molecule: non-coding RNA, 806 nt
Organism: Marmota flaviventris (yellow-bellied marmot)
Lineage: Eukaryota; Metazoa; Chordata; Mammalia; Rodentia; Sciuridae
Source: RefSeq, a predicted model, not a curated record
AGGGGGGGCAGGAGGGGCAGCGGGAGGGCCUGGGGCUCAGGCUGAGUGGCUGACCCACGCUGGGGACCUGGGGACAUCACCUCGGCUCCCUGGCUCUGUGUCCCCAUCUGGGACAGGGCAGGGCCUGGGGGACUGAGAGGCCCCAGCAGCUCUGGCCAGGAGACGACCCCGUUCUGUCCCCACAGAUGCUUCUGUGAAGGACCCUCAGCCUGAGGACGGGGUGGAGCUGGACAAUCGGGGCCCACCUGACGGAGACCCCCAGGGAGUGACACACGCCCAGGUGGAGCACUCAGGACCCAGGAGGGGCGGGAGCUCCCCUCUUUCCCCGCUGUUGGGGCAGUUCCUGGGCACAGAGGACGCAGAGGACAGACAGACGGACACUCAGGCUGCUGCGUCUGAAGGUCCCCAGGACGUGACCUACGCCCAGCUGUGCAGGUGGACACUCAGACGGGGGGCCGCUGCCCCUCCCUCCUCCCAGGCAGAGGAGCCCCCAGCGGAGCCCAGUGUGUACGCUGCUCUGGCCCCCGCUCACCCCGGAGCUGCCCCCAAGGACACUCACUAGUGGCCCUCAGCCAGCCAGCCACCUGACACCUCCAGAGACUCGGGAACUGAGACCGGCCUGACUCUGCAUCAGAGAAAAGUGAUACCCUGCAUUUCACUAAUAAAGCCAGAGUUUCUCAAUAACCAAGGAGUGGACGAGAAACAGAGGGACAGGAGGUCUCAACAUGAAUGACAAGGUUAACACUGCACACCAAGGCUGUGAAGUGAGAAAGUUAAGGACCUGAAUGAUCAUGUUAGGAAACGUU